RNAcentral lists this ribosomal RNA (253 nucleotides) under uncultured bacterium. Its description in RNAcentral is "partial 16S ribosomal RNA". It matches the Rfam family "Bacterial small subunit ribosomal RNA", at positions 524 to 776 of the family's 1533-position model. The record is from RNAcentral.
UACGUAGGUGGCAAGCGUUGUCCGGAUUUACUGGGCGUAAAGGAUGCGUAGGCGGACAUUUAAGUCAGAUGUGAAAUACCCGAGCUUAACUUGGGUGCUGCAUUUGAAACUGGGUGUCUAGAGUGCAGGAGAGGUAAGUGGAAUUCCUAGUGUAGCGGUGAAAUGCGUAGAGAUUAGGAAGAACACCAGUGGCGAAGGCGGCUCUCUGGGACGGUACUGACGCUGAGACGCGAAAGCGUGGGGAGCGAACAGG